UACGUAGGGGCCUAGCGUUGUCCGGAUUUAUUGGGCGUAAAGAGCUCGUAGGCGGUUCGGUAAGUCAGGUGUGAAAUCUCCACGCUCAACGUGGAGGCGCCACCUGAAACUGCCGUGACUCGAGUCCGGUAGGGGAGUGUGGAAUUCCCGGUGUAGCGGUGAAAUGCGCAGAUAUCAGGAAGAACACCAAUGGCGAAGGCAGCUCUCUGGGACGGUACUGACGCUGAGACGCGAAAGCGUGGGGAGCGAACAGG
RNAcentral lists this ribosomal RNA (254 nucleotides) under uncultured bacterium. RNAcentral describes it as "partial 16S ribosomal RNA". It matches the Rfam family "Bacterial small subunit ribosomal RNA", at positions 524 to 776 of the family's 1533-position model. The record is from RNAcentral.